Long non-coding RNA from Gossypium arboreum, 324 nucleotides. RefSeq lists it as uncharacterized. The transcript has 2 exons. The record is from RefSeq and is a predicted model, not a curated record. NCBI's taxonomy places the organism in Eukaryota, Viridiplantae, Streptophyta, Magnoliopsida, Malvales, Malvaceae.
AUAUAAACUAAAGAAGCAAAUGAAAGGAAAUAGAAACAGAAUGAAACGAAACAGAGGGCACGGGAGAAAAAGAAAGAAAGAAGGGGAGAAAAGGGAAAAUUGAAGGUUUGAAGCUUUAAGCUUUAAUAGGUUAAGUAAAGAUAGUACGUUGAAUCAGCAUCCCAAGACGAUCCCGAAUUCAUUAAGGUAAAGUAUGUUGAGUAUUGAUAAUGGCAUGUACCCAGGAUGUUUAAUGAGAGUCAUUUAGGUUGUAAAAGUAUUGAUGAAAUGAGUAAAUUAUGGUUGGCAACGGUAUGUAGUAUGAAUUUUGAAAUUUACUAAAAA